This 969-nucleotide ribosomal RNA is filed under the name Escherichia coli. RNAcentral's name for it is "partial 23S ribosomal RNA". It matches the Rfam family "Bacterial large subunit ribosomal RNA", at positions 296 to 1274 of the family's 2925-position model. The record is from RNAcentral. Lineage: Bacteria; Pseudomonadati; Pseudomonadota; Gammaproteobacteria; Enterobacterales; Enterobacteriaceae.
AGCCCAGAGCCUGAAUCAGUGUGUGUGUUAGUGGAAGCGUCUGGAAAGGCGCGCGAUACAGGGUGACAGCCCCGUACACAAAAAUGCACAUACUGUGAGCUCGAUGAGUAGGGCGGGACACGUGGUAUCCUGUCUGAAUAUGGGGGGACCAUCCUCCAAGGCUAAAUACUCCUGACUGACCGAUAGUGAACCAGUACCGUGAGGGAAAGGCGAAAAGAACCCCGGCGAGGGGAGUGAAAAAGAACCUGAAACCGUGUACGUACAAGCAGUGGGAGCCUCUUAAUGGGGUGACUGCGUACCUUUUGUAUAAUGGGUCAGCGACUUAUAUUCUGUAGCAAGGUUAACCGAAUAGGGGAGCCGAAGGGAAACCGAGUCUUAACUGGGCGUUAAGUUGCAGGGUAUAGACCCGAAACCCGGUGAUCUAGCCAUGGGCAGGUUGAAGGUUGGGUAACACUAACUGGAGGACCGAACCGACUAAUGUUGAAAAAUUAGCGGAUGACUUGUGGCUGGGGGUGAAAGGCCAAUCAAACCGGGAGAUAGCUGGUUCUCCCCGAAAGCUAUUUAGGUAGCGCCUCGUGAAUUCAUCUCCGGGGGUAGAGCACUGUUUCGGCAAGGGGGUCAUCCCGACUUACCAACCCGAUGCAAACUGCGAAUACCGGAGAAUGUUAUCACGGGAGACACACGGCGGGUGCUAACGUCCGUCGUGAAGAGGGAAACAACCCAUACCGCCAGCUAAGGUCCCAAAGUCAUGGUUAAGUGGGAAACGAUGUGGGAAGGCCCAGACAGCCAGGAUGUUGGCUUAGAAGCAGCCAUCAUUUAAAGAAAGCGUAAUAGCUCACUGGUCGAGUCGGCCUGCGCGGAAGAUGUAACGGGGCUAAACCAUGCACCGAAGCUGCGGCAGCGACGCUUAUGCGUUGUUGGGUAGGGGAGCGUUCUGUAAGCCUGCGAAGGUGUACUGUGAGGUAUGCU